GGAGAAUUACUCAAGGGGCUGAAGAGGACGGUUUGCUAAAUCGUUAGGUCGGGAAACCGGCGCGGGGGUUCGAAUCCCCCAUUCUCCG
This 88-nucleotide transfer RNA is filed under the name Streptococcus mutans. RNAcentral describes it as "tRNA-Ser". It matches the Rfam family "tRNA". Rfam says of the family: Transfer RNA (tRNA) molecules are approximately 80 nucleotides in length. Their secondary structure includes four short double-helical elements and three loops (D, anti-codon, and T loops). The record is from RNAcentral. Lineage: Bacteria; Bacillati; Bacillota; Bacilli; Lactobacillales; Streptococcaceae.